GCCGGGCAUGGUGGCACAUGCCUGUAGUCCUGGCUACUUGGGAGGCUGAGGUGGGAGGAUCCCUUGAGCCCAGGAGUUUGAGGUUGCACUGAGCUAUGACUGUGCCACUGUACUUCAACCUGGGCGACAGGGUGAGACCCUGUCUCUU
Unclassified non-coding RNA from Pongo abelii (Sumatran orangutan), 148 nucleotides. It matches the Rfam family "Metazoan signal recognition particle RNA". Rfam says of the family: The signal recognition particle (SRP) is a universally conserved ribonucleoprotein. It is involved in the co-translational targeting of proteins to membranes. Lineage: Eukaryota; Metazoa; Chordata; Mammalia; Primates; Hominidae. The record is from Ensembl.